ACUUCUGGAGGCAGAAUAAGCAAGCGACAGGUAGGAUUAUAUGAGCCAUGAACAACCUUUUCUUCAUGGUGUAAGUUUGUUUUCCAUUUUUUUGGUUAUCAAGCAAAAGGUUCUUUGCCAUCCAAAUUUGAUUGUGACUAUGCCUAUGUAAGUUUAUGUAUUAACAUGGGUCUGAUUAAAAACUCAAUCUUUGAAUAUAAAUUUAACAAGGGUUUAAUAGAACUUAUUUUAGUUUUGAUUUGAGAAUGAGUACAGGUCAGGAGACAUGCUGCAAGUGCAGGAUUUCAAUAUUGUUAUGCGUCAAUUAGGCAAGCAAAAUAGAUUCAAGGAUCUUUCUCAGGUCUUUGAAUGGAUGCAACAACAUGGAGAGCUAAACUUUACGUCUUAUAGUAGUUACAUAAAUCUCAUGGGGAAAAAUCUCCAUCCUAAAAAGGCACUCGAAAUAUACAAUGGCAUCGAAGAUAGGUUAAAUAAGGUUAACCCGUCUGUUUGCAAUUCGGUUCUCGGCUGUUUAAAUAGAAACGGCAAAAUCGAGAAAAGAUUUGAACUCUUUCGUCACAUGAAACAUGACGGUCUUGUGCCAGAUGUUGUUACUUAUAGUAUGGUAUGCCUAUAAUCCCCCCAUGUUACUUAUAGUAUGGUAUGUCUAUAAUCCCCCCAUUUUUGUUUUAUUUUCUUUAGCUACUUUCGGGUUGUGCGGAAGUCCAAAUGGUUAUACAAAAGCAACAAAGCUGGUACAGGAGCUCAAGCACAAGGGGUUGCAAAUUCUCUAAAUCUUAUAAUCUGUUAUUUAUUUAUCAUUCUUUCACAUUUUUAGCAUGUAGGCGAAUAAUCUGAGAACGAUGAGGGUCUAAGUAUGGGUUCUUACGACGACAUGACCCUCUCUCAAUCUUUCAACAGCUUUUUGUUUAGGCAAAAUCGAGUUUUAAUAUGACUCUUGAUUCAGUAUGUUUUCCAUGUUUGGUUUUGUUUUUUUUUUCCGACCAGUUUAAGAAUCUGACCAGUUUAAGAAUCUGAAAUUUAGAUCCACUUCUGAUAUAUGUUGUAUUGAUCUUCAAUAUUUGGUUGAGGAUACGCACCAGUAAGCUAGCUAGCUGGGUAGUUCGAUUGGCUUUUACCCUAUGUUUAGGAACUACUUGAUGGUAUCCUGUUCAAGGUUCAAGUUUUCACCUUUUUAAUUUCUUAUUGAUUGAUAGAUUGAUUUUUAAAUAAUUUGCUUAUUGAAAGCUAUUUUUGUUGAUGUUUGAUGUGUAGAUAGGAUGUGGCGGGUACAUUUUAGGGUUCUAACUUUUAUAGCAAAUUUAUUUGCAGGUAUCGACACUUUAAUGGUUGUUUUUUAAUCAUCAGAGGAAAAGGAAUGCUCAACGAUCAAGCACCCCCGCCCCAAAAGCUGAGACCGGAGAACUGCCAGGCGACGAGUCUGCGGGUAAAGGAUGGCUGGCAUCCUAUUUGAUCGCUUAACACAAUCAUGGCCUCAAUACCCAUUCUUAAUGAACGUUGUGACUUCACACUUGAAACCGACUG
Long non-coding RNA from Helianthus annuus (common sunflower), 1524 nucleotides. RefSeq lists it as uncharacterized. The transcript is spliced from 3 exons. NCBI's taxonomy places the organism in Eukaryota, Viridiplantae, Streptophyta, Magnoliopsida, Asterales, Asteraceae. The record is from RefSeq and is a predicted model, not a curated record.